UCUUAAAAAAAAAAUGUUCAUAACACUCUUCUAAAUAAAAAAGAAAAAUAUGUGAUGUAUCAUUUUUACUUCAUCAUGUAUAAUAAAUGAUUCUAUCAUACUAGAAAAAACUUUUAUAGUUGAUUGAAAUCUUUUUUUUUUUUGUUGUAACUUUUUCUUAUAUCGAGAACUAAAGGGAGCACUAACUUUUACUCAUCCGUCCAUCUAUUAAAUGAGAGCAGUAUGUGGAAGAAAAGAUGCCAAUGAAAUGGAAAGUGGUAUCUUUGCUUUCUGAGCGAGGACCAGCUGUGGAGUCCCAUGAAGCAGAGUCAAGAUGCAGCUUUGUACAGAAAUUAAGAUAGAUGACCCUAAAAAGUUAAGGCAUGAAAGUUGAAAGAGAUAGCAACCACAAACAAACGUAGUAUAAAGGCAAGAACCAGCUUUUGGGCCCUCACUCACAUGUUCGUUAAAAUACAUACAGACUUUCCAAAGUUUAUAUAUGUAACCCUCUUGCCUAUGGUCCCCUUCUUAAUUUCAAGAUGCUAGUAUAGUUUAUAAAUACUUGACCAAAAAGAAACCGAUAUAGAUGUACUCCUAUAAUCUAAUUUAAUUCAUUUCAUAAUCAUGAAUAUAAUUGCAACGAAAUGUCCUUUCUUCUAAAACAAAAUGUUCUUUAUAGAAACAUGAUUAAUAAAAAUAAAAUAUGUUGCUUGACCAAAAUAUAUAUAUAUAUAUGUUGAUGAAAAAUAAUGUCUAAGUUGGUAUACCACAAAGAAAGUCAUUUUAAGCGAAAAAAAUGUUAAGCUUUGUUCUAGACCGAUUAGAAGGUCAAUUUCAUAGCGACACGUGAACUAAAUGUCUACCACACUAAGGCAGAACACUUGGAAGAACACGUCAAUAACAAUGCACCGCAUCACAUUUGAGUACACUUUUGUGCAACGAUCACCAUACCCGUGUCCUCUAACCGCUCCCUAAUCACACGCCACAUAUUUCGGAGACGGUUAUUCUCACGUGCACCUAUAUAAGGGUGACUUAG
This 1015-nucleotide long non-coding RNA is filed under the name Medicago truncatula (barrel medic). RNAcentral describes it as "lncRNA gene25608". Lineage: Eukaryota; Viridiplantae; Streptophyta; Magnoliopsida; Fabales; Fabaceae. The record is from RNAcentral.